RNAcentral lists this transfer RNA (74 nucleotides) under Candidatus Pacearchaeota archaeon. Its description in RNAcentral is "tRNA-Tyr". It matches the Rfam family "tRNA". Rfam says of the family: Transfer RNA (tRNA) molecules are approximately 80 nucleotides in length. Lineage: Archaea; Nanobdellati. The record is from RNAcentral.
AGCCCCGUAGUCUAGCGGUCAAAUCUUAUUGUGUUGUAAAGCCUGAGACCCCGGUUCGAAUCCGGGCGGGGCUA